AUUGAACGCUGGCGGCAGGCCUAACACAUGCAAGUCGAACGGUAACAGGAAGAAGCUUGCUUCUUUGCUGACGAGUGGCGGACGGGUGAGUAAUGUCUGGGAAACUGCCUGAUGGAGGGGGAUAACUACUGGAAACGGUAGCUAAUACCGCAUAACGUCGCAAGACCAAAGAGGGGGACCUUCGGGCCUCUUGCCAUCGGAUGUGCCCAGAUGGGAUUAGCUAGUAGGUGGGGUAACGGCUCACCUAGGCGACGAUCCCUAGCUGGUCAGAGAGGAUGACCAGCCACACUGGAACUGAGACACGGUCCAGACUCCUACGGGAGGCAGCAGUGGGGAAUAUUGCACAAUGGGCGCAAGCCUGAUGCAGCCAUGCCGCGUGUAUGAAGAAGGCCUUCGGGUUGUAAAGUACUUUCAGCGGGGAGGAAGGGAGUAAAGUUAAUACCUUUACUCAUUGACGUUACCCGCAGAAGAAGCACCGGCUAACUCCGUG
This 490-nucleotide ribosomal RNA is filed under the name uncultured bacterium. RNAcentral's name for it is "partial 16S ribosomal RNA". It matches the Rfam family "Bacterial small subunit ribosomal RNA", at positions 30 to 507 of the family's 1533-position model. The record is from RNAcentral.